AUCACAUCCUGGGGCUGAAGCAGGUCCCAAGGGUAUGGCUGUUCGCCAUUUAAAGUGGUACGCGAGCUGGGUUUAGAACGUCGUGAGACAGUUCGGUCCCUAUCUGCCGUGGGCGUUGGAAAUUUGAGAAGAGUUGCUCCUAGUACGAGAGGACCGGAGUGAACGUAUCUCUGGUGUUCCGGUUGUCACGCCAGUGGCAUUGCCGGGUAGCUAUGUACGGACGGGAUAACCGCUGAAAGCAUAUAAGCGGGAAGCCUCCCUCAAGAUGAGAUCUCACCUCUGGGGCAACCCAGACUGAAGAGCCGUUGAAGACGACAACGUUGAUAGGCUGGAUGUGGAAGUGCAGUAAUGUAUGGAGCUAACCAGUACUAAUGACUCGUGAGACUUAACCAUGUAACCCUAAA
This 404-nucleotide ribosomal RNA is filed under the name Legionellales bacterium. Its description in RNAcentral is "bacterial LSU rRNA". It matches the Rfam family "Bacterial large subunit ribosomal RNA", at positions 2539 to 2925 of the family's 2925-position model. The record is from RNAcentral. Lineage: Bacteria; Pseudomonadati; Pseudomonadota; Gammaproteobacteria; Legionellales.